AAGGAAAAAGGAAAAUCGAGGUGACCCUGCUUAUGUGCGAGCAGCUUGUGAAGGUAGCUUGAAACGUCUUAGUGUUGAAUGUAUUGAUCUU
This is a long non-coding RNA of Hibiscus syriacus, 91 nucleotides long. RefSeq lists it as uncharacterized. Lineage: Eukaryota; Viridiplantae; Streptophyta; Magnoliopsida; Malvales; Malvaceae. The transcript has 3 exons. The record is from RefSeq and is a predicted model, not a curated record.